AUUAUUGGGCGUAAAGGGCUCGUAGGCGGUUUGUCGCGUCGGGAGUGAAAACACUGGGCUUAACUCAGUGCUUGCUUCCGAUACGGGCAGACUAGAGGUAUUCAGGGGAGAACGGAAUUCCUGGUGUAGCGGUGAAAUGCGCAGAUAUCAGGAGGAACACCGGUGGCGAAGGCGGUUCUCUGGGAAUUACCUGACGCUGAGGAGCGAAAGUGUGGGGAGCGAACAGGAUUAGAUACCCUGGUAGUCCACACCGUAAACGUUGGGCGCUAGGUGUGGGGUCCAUUCCACGGAUUCCGUGCCGCAGCUAACGCAUUAAGCGCCCCGCCUGGGGAGUACGGCCGCAAGGCUAAAACUCAAAGGAAUUGACGGGGGCCCGCACAAGCGGCGGAGCAUGCGGAUUAAUUCGAUGCAACGCGAAGAACCUUACCUGGGUUUGACAUACGCCGGAAAGCCGUAGAGAUACGGCCCCUUUUAGUCGGUGUACAGGUGGUGCAUGGCUGUCGUCAGCUCGUGUCGUGAGAUGUUGGGUUAAGUCCCGCGCCGAGAGCGACACCUCUUCUCUUAUGUGGCCAGAACUCCCUUUUGAAUGUUGGGAAUUCAUAGGAGACUGCCGGGGUCAACUCGGAGGAAGGUGGGGAUGACGUCAAGUCAUCAUGCCCCUUAUGUCCAGGGCUUCACGCAUGCUACAAUGGCCGGUACAAAGGGCUGCGAUCCCGUGAGGGGGAGCGAAUCCCAAAAAGCCGGUCUCAGUUCGGAUUGGGGUCUGCAACUCGACCCCAUGAAGUCGGAGUCGCUAGUAAUCGCA
Molecule: ribosomal RNA, 805 nt
Filed under: uncultured bacterium
Lineage: Bacteria
Description: bacterial SSU rRNA
Rfam family: Bacterial small subunit ribosomal RNA
Source: RNAcentral